CAAAAACAUGUCUUUUUGAGUAUAAUUAAAAGUCUGGCCUGCCCAGUGAUUUAUUUAACGGCCGCGGUAUAUUGACCGUGCAAAGGUAGCAUAAUCAUUAGUCUUUUAAUAGAGGGCUGGAAUGAAAGGUUUCACGAGGAAUUGACUGUCUCAUUUUAUUUGUUUUAAAACUUAAUUUUUUAGUUAAAAAGCUAAAAUUUAAUUGGAAGACGAGAAGACCCUAUAGAUCUUUACAUAAAUUUAUUAAGUUUGCAGGAGAUAAUUGCAUUUUAUUUAGUUUAUGUUUUGUUGGGGUGACAAAAAUAAAAUUUAACUUUUUUAUAAUAUUACCAUUGAUUUAUGAAUAUAGGAUCCAUUCUUAGUGAUUAUUAGAUUAAGUUACCUUAGGGAUAACAGCGUAAUCUCUCUUCAGAGUUCAUAUUUACGGAGGGGCUUGCGACCUCGAUGUUGGAUUAAGAUAAUAGUUAGGUGUAGCCGCUUAAUAUAUAGGUCUGUUCGACCUUUAAAUUCUUACAUGAUCUGAG
This 524-nucleotide ribosomal RNA is filed under the name Nannophya dalei. Its description in RNAcentral is "partial 16S ribosomal RNA". It matches the Rfam family "Bacterial large subunit ribosomal RNA", at positions 1808 to 2609 of the family's 2925-position model. The record is from RNAcentral. Lineage: Eukaryota; Metazoa; Arthropoda; Insecta; Odonata; Libellulidae.